CCACAUUUGACACUCGUUUAUUCAACUAUUCCAAUCACUUAGAUGUUCUAUUAUAUCUAAACUAUACCUAACAUGCAUUAACUUAUCUUAAUCUAAAACAAAAUAAAUUAAAAUUUCCUUGGAGUCUCGGAUUUGAGAGCUUACCGGUAGGAUGCUAGGUUUGAUGUUUGAAGAGAUCCUCUCAGUUCACCGUGUCUGGGUAGCGGUUUGAAUGUCUAGCCAUGCAUGGUCCAUGUGAGGUAUGGUUAACUGUACCAAAACAAUGAGGUAAAAGGAUGGGAAAGGUUACUGGAGGGUUAACUUCAUGGGGACCCCAUAAGUCAUGGCCACCGUCUAGUUUCUCUUCCCUUUUUUCCUCUCGGUUGUUGUGCUCCAGUGAUGACGUUCCUCCCUUUAUAAGUCAAACUUCAAUCUCUCACUCUCUUUCUCUUUCUUUCUCUCUCCCAACGUUGCAUCCUCUCUCUCUCUUUCCCGGUCGUCUUAUCCCAACUUGAAGGAAAUCCGAAUCAGGUUUCCUU
RNAcentral lists this long non-coding RNA (518 nucleotides) under Carica papaya (papaya). RNAcentral describes it as "long non-coding RNA (CPAP_LNC005000)". The record is from RNAcentral. Lineage: Eukaryota; Viridiplantae; Streptophyta; Magnoliopsida; Brassicales; Caricaceae.